AGAGAUGGAUUGAUGGUCUUCAGUUCUCAUCAUUGUUUUGGCCACCUCCACAAGAUGCCCAACAACGAAAGGCGCAAAUUACUGCUUAUGUCGAGUACUUCGGGCAAUUUACAUCUGAACAAUUUCCUGAUGAUAUUGCUGAGCUGAUUCGUAAUCGUUAUCCAUCGACAGAAAAACGCCUUUUCGAUGAUGUUUUGGCUACAUUUGUUCUCCAUCAUCCGGAGCAUGGGCAUGCAGUUGUUCUUCCAAUUAUUUCAUGUUUAAUAGAUGGUACACUUGUGUACGAUAGGAGUAGUCCUCCUUUUGCUUCUUUCAUUUCCUUGGUAUGCC
RNAcentral lists this unclassified non-coding RNA (330 nucleotides) under Hevea brasiliensis (rubber tree). Lineage: Eukaryota; Viridiplantae; Streptophyta; Magnoliopsida; Malpighiales; Euphorbiaceae. The record is from RNAcentral.